GCCAUAAAAAAUCUAAAAUGUGGGGUUGGGGAAACUCCGGUGAUAAAUUGUAUUUUUCAUACGGAAGGUUAAGGGGUGCGGAAAGGGGCGACUUGGCUAAGACCUGAAACUGACAGAAUUUCGAAUAGAAAAAGAAGGGUUACUGCGAGAUGAUCAGCGUUGCGAGCGGCUCUGAAAGGGUCCCCUGAGAGGUGAUGAAUUGCAGCGGAGCCCGGGAGCUGGGCAGCUUGGGCACCGUUCGCAUCCCCACCGUACUCCGGCACAGAGAGGCUGGAGGAAUGCGCGCCGAACAAGUGUCUGGGCAGCGCAGGACUGCGAGGUUAGCAGCAGCAGUGCCCACAGAGAAGCCUGAGAAUGAGAGGCAAUUCCUCCAGUCUCGGCAGAACAUCCCCAUCACAAAGGGACACCAGUUUGAUGGUACAACCGGGACACUGCAAGUGGUGAGGGUGACAGAGCUGAGGAGCCACAGGAGCAUGGUGGGGGGGCAGUAGUCCUCUUUAGUGGGAGAAGAUUGAGCCUCACAGCUGGGAUAUCCAGACAGUUGGCAGGUGGCCUCCUGAUCCCAUUCCCUUGCCGAGAAGACAAGGGAUUGUUAACUCCGUGUCGGUAGGAGUCAGGAAAUGAUUUAACACCCCUAGCUAUAACAGGCACA
This 652-nucleotide long non-coding RNA is filed under the name Lepisosteus oculatus (spotted gar). RNAcentral describes it as "lncRNA (ENSLOCG00000021219.1)". Lineage: Eukaryota; Metazoa; Chordata; Actinopteri; Semionotiformes; Lepisosteidae. The record is from RNAcentral.